This is a long non-coding RNA of Arachis duranensis, 307 nucleotides long. RefSeq lists it as uncharacterized. NCBI's taxonomy places the organism in Eukaryota, Viridiplantae, Streptophyta, Magnoliopsida, Fabales, Fabaceae. The transcript is spliced from 4 exons. The record is from RefSeq and is a predicted model, not a curated record.
GGGACAACCAAGCUGACCUGCGAUCGACAGAAGGUCGCUAUGUGUCCUCUGAAACACUACCGGCUGUGAACUUGGGAAGUGAUGAUCCUUCCUCUCAAGGACGCACAGAACAGAGUAGUGUAAACCAGCCGUCUCAGAGCAUGUUGACUCCGACUGAUUCGAAUAUGAUGGUUGUUAGGGAACAAACGCCGUCGGAAGCGCUUGCAAUAGUCCCGAUCCAGUUUUUUGUGCCGGCAUCCCAACAAACAACCACUGACGCAGAUUUCGAACCAACCCCUAUGCUACAGAUUGAAGGGGCUAGAGAAAC